Pelobates cultripes (western spadefoot toad) is the source of this 413-nucleotide non-coding RNA. NCBI's taxonomy places the organism in Eukaryota, Metazoa, Chordata, Amphibia, Anura, Pelobatidae. The record is from the annotation of a GenBank genome assembly.
AAGAAGACAAUAACUAGAAGAUCUUCCUAAAGUUUACAUCCCUAUUGCACUGCUGGGUAAGAAAACCACGCCGCCUUUUUGCCCAUACUAUCUUGCAAUCCACUGGAAGCUUCAAUAGGCUGAGUCUACUUUAAGGAAUAAUUUGGUAACUAAUGCUGCACAGAGUAAAGCCCUUAUUGUAGGAUCUUUGGUUACUAAAGCACAUUGCACAUAGCUGGAUUUGCUGAAAAAAGUAUGGUGAAUCUCAAGAAUAGCCUGUUAAAAUCCUUCAAAAUAUCAAGACAGCUUCUGAUUUUCUAGCAGACUACUUCUGACCACUGUAGAAAGACCUGUGGAUUUAGCUGAAAGUUUAAGAGAUUCUGAAUGGCUACCUGGCUUAGAGGCUGGUUAGCGUAGUCCGCUUAAACACUCUC